ACAGCUCCGCCCUCUCCGCCGCCUCAUCCCGGCAAGCUCGAAUUCCAAAUUUGUACUGGUAAAAGGAUUCCAGACAUUAUGUCUCAUGUGCUUGCAGUUUCUUGUACUUUAAAUCCCUCUCCUGCCAGUAAGACUUCCUUAAGGUCACUCAAUCAGCAUUCUGUUCUCAGUCAUACUUCUGUUACAUUUCGGAAUCAAGUAUCUUCAUAUACAAAGCUAUUGCAUAGGGAGU
RNAcentral lists this unclassified non-coding RNA (232 nucleotides) under Hevea brasiliensis (rubber tree). The record is from RNAcentral. Lineage: Eukaryota; Viridiplantae; Streptophyta; Magnoliopsida; Malpighiales; Euphorbiaceae.